Molecule: ribosomal RNA, 498 nt
Filed under: uncultured bacterium
Lineage: Bacteria
Description: partial 16S ribosomal RNA
Rfam family: Bacterial small subunit ribosomal RNA
Source: RNAcentral
GAUGAACGCUAGCUACAGGCUUAACACAUGCAAGUCGCGGGGCAGCAUGGUGGUUGCUACUACGCCCGAUUUGCUAUCUUUCUAGGGGCGGGCGAGGGAGUACCACCUGGCCAUCCUCCCCGGUACAAGCGGGUAACAGUCGGACAUAUCCGGUAAGUCGUCAUAUGCGCACAUCGCUGUAUGACGCAGUGUGAGACGCUGCGGGGGGGGAAGAUGGACCCGCGUUGGAUUAGCUGGUUGGUGGGGUGACGGGGCACCGAGGCGACGGUCGGUAGCGGGCGUGGGAGGAAGAUCCCCCACACUGGAACGGGGACACGGUCCAGACGCCUACGGGAGGCAGCAGUGAGGAAUAUUGGUCAAUGGGCGUAAGCCUGAACCAGCCAAGUAGCGUGCAGGACGACGGCCCUAUGGGUUGUAAACUGCUUUUAUGCGGGGAUAAAGUGGCCCACGUGUGGGUUUUUGCAGGUACCGCAUGAAUAAGGCCCGGCUAAUUCCGUG